UACGUAGGGGGCAAGCGCUAUCCGGAAUUACUGGGUGUAAAGGGAGCGUAGACGGUAAUGUAAGUCUGGAGUGAAAGGCGGGGGCCCAACCCCCGGACUGCUCUGGAAACUAUGUUACUAGAGUGCAGGAGAGGUAAGCGGAAUUCCUAGUGUAGCGGUGAAAUGCGUAGAUAUUAGGAGGAACACCAGUGGCGAAGGCGGCUUACUGGACUGUAACUGACGUUGAGGCUCGAAAGCGUGGGGAGCAAACAGG
RNAcentral lists this ribosomal RNA (253 nucleotides) under uncultured bacterium. RNAcentral's name for it is "partial 16S ribosomal RNA". It matches the Rfam family "Bacterial small subunit ribosomal RNA", at positions 524 to 776 of the family's 1533-position model. The record is from RNAcentral.